ACGAACGCUGGCGGCGUGCUUAACCCAUGCAAGUCGAACGGAAAGGCCCUGCUUUUGUGGGGUGCUCGAGUGGCGAACGGGUGAGUAACACGUGAGUAACCUGCCCUUGACUUUGGGAUAACUUCAGGAAACUGGGGCUAAUACCGGAUAGGAGCUCCUGCUGCAUGGUGGGGGUUGGAAAGUUUCGGCGGUUGGGGAUGGACUCGCGGCUUAUCAGCUUGUUGGUGGGGUAGUGGCUUACCAAGGCUUUGACGGGUAGCCGGCCUGAGAGGGUGACCGGCCACAUUGGGACUGAGAUACGGCCCAGACUCCUACGGGAGGCAGCAGUGGGGAAUAUUGCACAAUGGACGGAAGCCUGAUGCAGCAACGCCGCGUGCGGGAUGACGGCCUUCGGGCUGUAAACCGCUUUCGCCUGUGACGAAGCGUGAGUGACGGUAAUGGGUAAAGAAGCACCGGCUAACUACGUG
RNAcentral lists this ribosomal RNA (467 nucleotides) under uncultured bacterium. RNAcentral's name for it is "partial 16S ribosomal RNA". It matches the Rfam family "Bacterial small subunit ribosomal RNA", at positions 29 to 507 of the family's 1533-position model. The record is from RNAcentral.